Molecule: RNase P RNA, 382 nt
Filed under: Gemmatimonadota bacterium
Lineage: Bacteria; Pseudomonadati; Gemmatimonadota
Description: RNase P RNA component class A
Rfam family: Bacterial RNase P class A
About the family: Ribonuclease P (RNase P) is a ubiquitous endoribonuclease, found in archaea, bacteria and eukarya as well as chloroplasts and mitochondria. Its best characterised activity is the generation of mature 5'-ends of tRNAs by cleaving the 5'-leader elements of precursor-tRNAs.
Source: RNAcentral
CGGGUCCGGUGCAGCGAUCGCGGGUACCUUCGGGUGCGCGAGGAAAGUCCGAGCUCCACCGGGUAGACUGCCAGGUAACGCCUGGGCGCCGCGAGGCGACGGACAGGGCCACAGAAAACAGACCGCCAUCCGGGCAACCGGGUGGUAAGGGUGAAACGGUGGGGUAAGAGCCCACCGCGCUCCUGGCAACAGGAGUGGCACGGCAACCCCCAGUCGGAGCAAGGCCAAAUAGGCGGCGAGGUGUGACCCACACCGACAGGCCGGUUUUCGGACCGGCGAGCCGCGGGUAGGCCGCUCGAGGCGUCCGGCGACGGGCGUCCUAGACAGAUGAUCGCUCCCGCUCACGCGGGAACAGAACUCGGCUUACGGCCGGACCCGUUCU